This 3254-nucleotide long non-coding RNA is filed under the name Homo sapiens (human). RNAcentral's name for it is "HSALNT0370977". The record is from RNAcentral. Lineage: Eukaryota; Metazoa; Chordata; Mammalia; Primates; Hominidae.
UGGGUGACAGAGCAAAACCCGGCCUCAAAAAGAGGAAAAAAAAAAAGAAAAAGAAAAGAAAAUGAUUUUUCACAUUUUGCACUCCUAACACUUUUUUAAGAAUUUAUUUCUGUAUAUAUUUAUAGAUCUUUAUAUCACCAAGUCUUAAAAGUUACUUUUUCAGAGAAAUAAUAAAACCUCCAUGUAAUCAUAGAUUCAUCAGUUAUCAAUACUCAAAGGUUCCUCUUUAAAACUAGUAUAUCAUGGCACUAAAAGCACAGAUUUUGGGGUCAAACAGCAUUGGGUUCCAGUCUUUGCUCUGCCAAUUACCAGCUAUGUGACUCUGGCCAGGUCGUUUCUCUCCUGAGGCCUUUGUGCCUUCAUUUAUAAGUCAGGCUAGUCACAGGUCUUUCCUAGGAUUGUUAUGAAGAGACACAAAACGGCAAGAAAAAGCACUGUACUGGUGCCAGGAAGAGUGUCCCAUGAAUGGUCACUAUGACAAUAUACACAAGUGGCCUCUUUCUCCACGCCCCCUCUGUUGAGGGCAGGCACACAGGGCAGGCGCAUGGGGCAGGGAGAAGCCAUGGAUCCAGGUGAGAGAGUGCAGUGACAAAGCAAGUGGAGUUAUUUCGUACUAAUGUUAAGUGGUUAGGAACAAACAAAACUGAGACUCUUGGGCCAGGGUGCUGCAGCGAGGUGCUUGUGGCCUUAGGUUGUUGGAGAGCAGAGGCAAGCCCGCUCCAGGACCUCCAUGCUCCGCCUCCUUUCUGCCUUGACCCCUCACCACUGCGAUAGCAAUGAGCUUUCCAGUAAGUACUAGAAAAACUCAUCUCUCUUCCUUUAUGGGGGAUGGGGGGUACUAAGUAUGGAGAAAGGUCUCACCGGCUCCAGCCAACCGGGAGCCUGAUUUCCUUAGUAAGAUUAAGAUCUGGACCCACAGAGUGGUCCAACCCAACCCCGGUACUUGGCCCAAGAUCUUCUGUCAGACAAUUUCCCUCCCUGUAACUCCCUAGAGCAGGAGUUCUUCAGGUCUCUUCCCCAUUUGGCAGCUCAUGCAAAGCUACUUGAAAUAGUAACAACGAAAUCUGAAUUAGGAAAGAACUCCAGUUAUGGGUGGGCUCAGCCUAAGAAAGAGGCUCUGUGGGCCUCCUGGCUUGUUUGGGCCCUGAGAACAGACUCCAUCAACAAUGGCCUCACUCUUGGGGCUGCACACUGAAUUCUGCCCUUCAAGGGAUAACUGAGGGAGGUAGGCCAAACUCCUGUUCCUCCACCUCCACCCCUCCCUACCCCUGCAAGCCAGCAGUCUCCAUUCCCACUCGGAGAAAUCCCGCAGGUAGGCUCUGGAGCCAUGCCACCCAGCACCAUGAAGAAAUGGAUGGCAGCAGAGGGUAAUGAUGGAGAGCAGGAGUCCUGGUUUAAAACCCCAGCUCCGCCUUUUGUUGGUUGUGCUACCUUGUGCAAGUCACUUCAUCUCUUAAAGGGGAAUAGCAACUGGUUUGUUGAAGAUAAAAGAGAGAUAACAUGUGGAAAAUGCUGGGCAUUGUGCCCAGCCCAUUUCAAGGACUCAGUAAUGGACAGCUGUAAUUAUCUUUACAGCUUUAAAGAGCUUGGGGCUUUGAUGGCAAACAGACUGAAUUUGAACCCUGGCUUGACCAGACCAUUUACUACAUUAGUCUGGGAAUGAUUCCCCUAAGCAAACAUCCCAGAGAGAAGAAAAGCAAAAGACACACAGCUAAAUGGACAACAGUUCCCAGCCUCGUCACAGGAGAACUCUUUGGAGCCAAGUGAACCCCUGGGUCUCCUUUUUCCCACCCCAUCACUUCAGCGCUUUGAGAUCAAGUUCGAACUCAGUCCCAACACAGAGUGUCACUGCAAAUUGUUUAUUAAAACACAAAGCAAUGGACAGUGAAAAACAUCCUGAUUUUGUACUUUUUGGUGGGAGUGGGGUGGGACAUGGAAGGGGUAGGGUCAGAUGGAGACAGCCCAGAAGGAAAGCCAGCUCUAUCCACCCCUACAGCUUCCCCGGCCAACCAGGUUCAAAGCCCAUCAGUUAUAUCUCACUGUGCCGCUGUCAAUGCAUGUUGUGGCUGCUGGCAAAGAGUUGGUUUGGCCUCCACAGAGAGAGGAUGGGAAACUAGGGUAGAAGCUACAAGGGCUAAGAACUUGAUGCUUUUUCUCCAGUACUUGGUACAGAAUAGAGCAGCCAGGCCCAAUGUGGAAGGGUGGGCUUGGUUUCCUGACAAGCCAGGUUAGACCAAUAAUGGUUGAAGAGGCUGCCCUGGGCUCAGAAUGGGCAGCUGGUCCUUGCCUGGGAGAACUUUGUGGAAGGAAAAGGUAAGAUUCCUUAAGUCCAAGGAGAGAACCAAUCCAGGGUCAAAUUUCUUUUCAUUCCCUGGAUCACAACACACCAGGGAAGAGAGGAGUCAAGAAUGUCUCUCCCUGCCAGUGCUCCCCUCCUACCUCGCAACUCGGCUCUCCCUUCCCGACAGUUGUCCUUUGAAAGGACGGAAAGCGCACUUCAGUUUGUUGUUGUUUUUCCUCAUACUGAAAUAAAGCACUGAAGCUCAAAAUAGAGGUGAGAAUGGAGUUCUGCUUUCCCCAGUGCUAUGUGCCCCCAUCUCACAAGACUGCCUGGAUGCAAGAGGUGCCAAGGCCCUCUCUGCCAACUCAAACAGGCACUACUGUUUCCUUGGCUGCCAGCACAAUCCUGGCUCCUUGUGUUUAUACUCCUGGGGGAACCUGUCCCAAGAGAUCCAUCCUGCUCUUUUCCUGCCAACCCAGCUAGUCCCCAAAUCACCUGCUCUUAUCAAGAUAAUCUGGCCCCCCAUAGCAGGCUAGACAAAAGGCAGCUGGAAAGGACAGGCCAGACUGGAAGCAAGCCACACAGAUGCAAAGAAGAAACCUGCCCUCGCUAGGCAGCUGAUCUACUGGUACCAAUCUAGUCUCAUAACAAAAUGAGGAAAUCUAGCCCUCUUGCCCCAGAGAGAUUUAAAUACAGAGAGUCUUAGUUUGGACUGAAAGAGAAAAAUUGCUCUGAUCUUUCUAAAGCUUGAACAUUAAGGCUUCUUUGCAAUUUUCUUAGAGCUCUUUGAUCGUUAAUUAUAUCUUUCCAUCGAAGAGAAGCAGAUUUCUUCUGAGAUUUCUGAACAGUUCCUGGGUGUUUCCGGUUCUGCUUCCGUGUACUAUCACUUUGCCUUGCCUCAGUCUCUCCUUCCUCCGGGGCCACAGAAGGAGAAAGCCCAAAGCAUACCCAUCCUGCCCUUUAAAAAAAAAAA